This 663-nucleotide long non-coding RNA is filed under the name Phoenix dactylifera (date palm). Its description in RNAcentral is "long non-coding RNA (PDAC_LNC012725)". Lineage: Eukaryota; Viridiplantae; Streptophyta; Magnoliopsida; Arecales; Arecaceae. The record is from RNAcentral.
GAAAUUAUAUCUGACUUUAUGGAGGGGAGGAACGGAUAAUUUUUCGGAUUUCAAAAAUAUUUUCCAUUUCCGCUCCCUACAGCUUUCCUCCUCCUCCUUUGCUUCCCCUUCGUCUCGAUUCCAUGGCUUCCGCUUCUCUCUUGGGAAGUUCAUACCUUCAACACCGCCCAUUCUUUGAAGCACGCAACGGUUCCGAGGUCUCGGUUCCCAUCCAUGAAACCCGAAACCCCUUAAAACCCCAAUGCUCUUCGACGCCGGAGUCGUCUUGUUCCAUAGUUCUUCCACUCCUUUCCUUCGAAUCGGUGAUGCUCUAGCUUCUCUUUAUGUGCACUCCAAGGGGAAAACGUUGCUUGCUUUUCUAUAAAAAUCCUUCCUUUUCCGGGUCCAAUUGCUUAAAUUAGGUUGUAUUUUUUAUUUUGAUUUUAACCAUGUCAACCAAGUUUCGCGUGCUUUAUAUAAUGGUAUAGUAAUUGGAUUCAGAUUUCAGAUGCGUCUAGUUAACCUUUCUUGAAAACUGAACUAAAAUUACUGGUUAAAUGAUAACAAGUGUUAAUAUUAAAUGUUUUGCUGUAGAUCUCUAUACUGCUAUCCUUUUUUUCCUCUUAUAUUUUUCUCUUAGCUUAUCAUGUACCAUUGGAUGUUGUAAUCUCUUUGAGAUCGAGC